AACGCUAGCUACAGGCUUAACACAUGCAAGUCGAGGGGUAGCAGGGUAGCAAUACCGCUGACGACCGGCGCACGGGUGAGUAACACGUAUCCAACCUGCCGCUUACUCGGGGAUAGCCUUUCGAAAGAAAGAUUAAUACCCGAUGGUAUAAAGAGUUCGCAUGUUCUCUUUAUUAAAGAAUUUCGGUAAGCGAUGGGGAUGCGUUCCAUUAGAUAGUUGGCGGGGUAACGGCCCACCAAGUCUACGAUGGAUAGGGGUUCUGAGAGGAAGGUCCCCCACAUUGGAACUGAGACACGGUCCGAACUCCUACGGGAGGCAGCAGUGAGGAAUAUUGGUCAAUGGACGAGAGUCUGAACCAGCCAAGUAGCGUGAAGGAUGACUGCCCUAUGGGUUGUAAACUUCUUUUAUAAGGGAAUAAAGUGAGGGACGUGUCCCUUUUUGUAUGUACCUUAUGAAUAAGGAUCGGCUAACUCCGUGCCAGCAGCCGCGGUAAUACGGAGGAUCCAAGCGUUAUCCGGAUUUAUUGGGUUUAAAGGGAGCGUAGGUUGACAUAUAAGUCAGCUGUGAAAGUUUACGGCUCAACCGUGAAAUUGCAGUUGAUACUGUAUGUCUUGAGUGUACAAGAGGUGGGCGGAAUUCGUGGUGUAGCGGUGAAAUGCUUAGAUAUCACGAAGAACUCCGAUUG
Molecule: ribosomal RNA, 685 nt
Filed under: uncultured bacterium
Lineage: Bacteria
Description: bacterial SSU rRNA
Rfam family: Bacterial small subunit ribosomal RNA
Source: RNAcentral